This 87-nucleotide transfer RNA is filed under the name Pyrobaculum sp. Its description in RNAcentral is "tRNA-Ser". It matches the Rfam family "tRNA". From Rfam's summary of the family: Transfer RNA (tRNA) molecules are approximately 80 nucleotides in length. Their secondary structure includes four short double-helical elements and three loops (D, anti-codon, and T loops). The record is from RNAcentral. Lineage: Archaea; Thermoproteati; Thermoproteota; Thermoprotei; Thermoproteales; Thermoproteaceae. RNAcentral also lists the same sequence under 1 other name.
GCCGGGGUGGCCGAGCGGCCCAAGGCGCGGGACUUGAGAUCCCGUCCCCGCAAGGGGGCGUGGGUUCAAAUCCCACCCCCGGCGCCA